UGGGGAAUAUUGCACAAUGGGCGCAAGCCUGAUGCAGCGACGCCGCGUGAGGGAUGACGGCCUUCGGGUUGUAAACCUCUUUUCAGCAGGGACGAAGCGCAAGUGACGGUACCUGCAGAAGAAGCACCGGCCAACUACGUGCCAGCAGCCGCGGUAAUACGUAGGGUGCGAGCGUUGUCCGGAAUUACUGGGCGUAAAGAGCUCGUAGGCGGUUUGUCGCGUCGUCUGUGAAAUUCUGCAGCUUAACUGCAGGCGUGCAGGCGAUACGGGCAGACUUGAGUACUACAGGGGAGACUGGAAUUCCUGGUGUAGCGGUGAAAGUGCGCAGAUAUCAGGAGGAACACCGGUGGCGAAGGCGGGUCUCUGGGUAGUAACUGACGCUGAGGAGCGAAAGCGUGGGUAGCGAACAGGAUUAGAUACCCUGGUAGUCCACGCCGUAAACGGUGGGUACUAGGUGUGGGUUCCAUUUCACGGGAUCCGUGCCGUAGCUAACGCAUUAAGUACCCCGCCUGGGGAGUACGGCCGCAAGGCUAAAA
This 536-nucleotide ribosomal RNA is filed under the name uncultured bacterium. Its description in RNAcentral is "partial 16S ribosomal RNA". It matches the Rfam family "Bacterial small subunit ribosomal RNA", at positions 355 to 899 of the family's 1533-position model. The record is from RNAcentral.